AUCUAGCUGACGAGUCCAAAAUAGGACGAAACGCGUGUCCUGGAU
This 45-nucleotide non-coding RNA is filed under the name Schistosoma mattheei. Lineage: Eukaryota; Metazoa; Platyhelminthes; Trematoda; Strigeidida; Schistosomatidae. The record is from RNAcentral.